This is a non-coding RNA of Camelina sativa (false flax), 361 nucleotides long. Lineage: Eukaryota; Viridiplantae; Streptophyta; Magnoliopsida; Brassicales; Brassicaceae. The record is from RefSeq and is a predicted model, not a curated record.
GAUUAUUAUAGAUUGAUGGAACCAUCGUGGCACCAGAUGAGCCUAGCCAAUGGGACCCUAAAUUUCAAAGGGUUUGGCUCCAAUUUUCUAAACUACAAGGAACUGUAUUCCAAGGGAAUGGAGUUAUAGAUGGUUCUGGUACCAAAUGGUGGGCUGCUUCUUGCAAAAAGAACAAGUCUAACCCUUGCGUAGGCGCACCAACGGCACUAACUAUAUAUUCAAGUUCAAAUGUUUAUGUGAGAGGCAUAACAAUCCGGAACAGCCAACAAAUGCAUUUGAUCAUAGCUCGAUCAAACACAGUUCGAAUCUCUAGAGUUAUGGUCACAUCUCCAGGAGAUAGUCCCAACACCGAUGGAAUUCA